This is a non-coding RNA of Musa acuminata subsp. malaccensis (wild Malaysian banana), 492 nucleotides long. The record is from RefSeq and is a predicted model, not a curated record. Lineage: Eukaryota; Viridiplantae; Streptophyta; Magnoliopsida; Zingiberales; Musaceae.
AUAUGUAUUCCAUGUUUAGAUGUGACGCCGCCCCAACCCAAGGUUGCCACAUCAUCUGGUGACACCCCAAGUUAUAGAUUCCGAUCAGAUGUUCCUGCUCCACCUUCUAACACUGCCUUAGGUGGAAAGGCUUCACUCUUGCCAAAGCGCACACCAGUCUCAGAUAAAGAGAUCGAGGCUAUUUUGUUGGGUGGUUGCUUUUAAUGCUACUGUGAUGUGGGGGCAGAGCUGUUCCUCACCCUCCUGAAUAAUACUACACUGGAGUUUUGUGAUGACAUCUCCAAGUACAUUAAUGGUCUGUCUUUGGACCAUCCUUAUUUUUCUCCAGAACAUGAGGUUUAAACCUGAAUAUUGUUACAUUCCUGCAUUUCUUCCAAGAUUGAUGCGACAUUGCCAAGAUGUUAUUUUCUUUCUAAACAAGCCCUUGAGAUGCUCAGUUGAAGCUUAUUCUUGUGAUGGUGACUUCUUAAUGUUUGCUCUUGAUCUUUUUCA